AGACACUGAAUCGCUGGUGCCUUGAUGUUGGACAUCUCAGCUUCUAGAACUGAAUUGGGCUGUCUCUCUCUCUUUCUCUGGUUGCAUUUCACCAGCUAAGGAGUUGCAUUGGCUUCUGCUCUCCUCUCUUGCUCACCUACAUUGUGAGGCAGAUGAGAGUGGAGGUUGUAAAUCACCCUCCAUGCAAUGGUUCAUCAUAAAGGAUAUGGAGCAAAAUUAGAGGAGGCACGAGAAGGAAAGCCGGUGAUGAACAAGGAAAGUGCCUGGUUGAAGCUAGCUUGCAAUCCCAAAGUCAGAAGGUUGCCUGGGAAGCCAUGAAACAAAGCCAAAUCAAGGCAAAGCAGACACAUGGAGAUUUUGAGACUGAGAAGAGGAAAACUGAGGACAUUCAUGUGAGAUGGUUUCAAGUUUCCCUUAGAAGGAGAAGUUAUCUUCAGAAGGUCAGGUUGGUGAGGUGGGAGUUCAAAAACAACAAAGUAUGUAGCUACCAUUGUGAGGAAGACCAUGGAAAAUGGACGAAUCAGAAUGAAAGGCUUUCUGAACAAGAGGGAGUUUCCCUGCACAAGCUCCCUCCUGCCUGCUGCCAUGUGAGACCUGCGUUUUGCCUUCCACCAUGACUGUGAGGCCUCUUCCCCGGCCAUGUGGAACUCCCAGAGACAGAAGCAGAUAAUGCAAGUGUCAUCUACAUCUGGCAAAAGCCAAAGGUUUGGAAGAUGGAAAAAGGAAUCCAGGCAAAAAGGAGCCCAAGAUUGAAGUGAAUGACCAGGUGCACCAGUUCAAAUGCAAUCAGGAGGGACAGGGGUAGAGGGAGAAGCCUAGAGCAGCGCUUCUCAAACUGACUAUUCAAGUCACCUGGAGAUCUUGGUGAAAUGCAGACUCUGGUGCAGUAGGUCCUGGCGGGAACUUGAAAUUCUGCAUUUUGACCAAGGUCCAAGGUGAAUGUCCAGUGCUGUUGUCCUUGGCCUGCAGCAGGAGGAGCAGGGAUCUAAGACUUGGAGAGCAAAUGUCAAGCUCAGAAGAAAGACUGGAAGUUUGGGGACAAAACCCAAAUAUGGCUAAAGAAAGCCUGUAGGAUGAAGUUGGAAGUUCCAGAGCCUUCUCUUCACAUAAUGGGACAUGCAAGGGGGAAACCAAAUCAAAAGUGUAGAAUGCGUCGCUGGAUGUCUUUGACAUGUUAUUGUUCUGAUAGAAUAUCAGCGGGGAGCUACUGAGGACCUCCUCACUACCCUCCCUUGGAAGAGUUUGUCUGCAAUGGAGCCAACACAGUGGAAAGCAGAGCUGAGAAAUGGACAAACAACUCCUGAUGCCUCAUUUGAGCACCUGGAUUUAGCCAUGUCUGAAGCUAUUAUAUCCUUGAACUUUUGAAUCAUGCACUGUUUUAAGUCCCAAAGAAAGAGGCAGAGGAGCGACAGAGAUGACUUCCUCCCUUGAAAACGAAGCAUGUGGCCUGACAACCUAAAAUUGGGGUCAAUCCAUCCAAUUAUGGUGACUGCUUAGAAAUAUCCCUUUUCCUCCCAACGUUUUCCUUUCCUUCUCCCAUAAACAUAAUAAUGUCUCCUGCCAGUACUAAGGCAUGGCCCAUGGACCCACUAACACCUAUGCUCACGUUAGCUCUUGAGGCCGAGUGGCUUGGUUCUAUCUGGUUAUCAGAUGCAAACUUCAUCACAGCAGGGAUUUGGGCUAGACAUUAGAGGAAUAGUGUGGUACCAGAUGGUGUUUCUGAAGAAGGUUGUCCUAUUUUUGCAGUUUAAGGAUUUGAUAAUAAAUCUGCCUGGCAGCCCU
This 1782-nucleotide long non-coding RNA is filed under the name Homo sapiens (human). Its description in RNAcentral is "long intergenic non-protein coding RNA 877". The record is from RNAcentral. Lineage: Eukaryota; Metazoa; Chordata; Mammalia; Primates; Hominidae.